CCUACGGGUGGCAGCAGUGGGGAAUAUUGGACAAUGGGCGAAAGCCUGAUCCAGCCAUGCCGCGUGUGUGAAGAAGGCCUUCGGGUUGUAAAGCACUUUCAGUGGGGAAGAAAGCCUUGGGGCUAAUACCCUCGAGGAAGGACAUCACCCACAGAAGAAGCACCGGCUCACUCCGUGCCAGCAGCCGCGGUAAUACGGAGGGUGCGAGCGUUAAUCGGAAUUACUGGGCGUAAAGCGCGCGUAGGCGGUCUGAUAAGCCGGUUGUGAAAGCCCCGGGCUCAACCUGGGAACGGCAUCCGGAACUGUCAGGCUAGAGUGCAGGAGAGGAAGGUAGAAUUCCCGGUGUAGCGGUGAAAUGCGUAGAGAUCGGGAGGAAUACCAGUGGCGAAGGCGGCCUUCUGGACUGACACUGACGCUGAGGUGCGAAAGCGUGGGUAGCAAACAGGAUUAGAUACCCCUGUAGUC
This 465-nucleotide ribosomal RNA is filed under the name Vreelandella stevensii. RNAcentral's name for it is "partial 16S ribosomal RNA". It matches the Rfam family "Bacterial small subunit ribosomal RNA", at positions 338 to 795 of the family's 1533-position model. Lineage: Bacteria; Pseudomonadati; Pseudomonadota; Gammaproteobacteria; Oceanospirillales; Halomonadaceae. The record is from RNAcentral.